UCACACAUGAAGGCAUGUAGCUUGUGUC
RNAcentral lists this non-coding RNA (28 nucleotides) under Mus musculus (house mouse). The record is from RNAcentral. Lineage: Eukaryota; Metazoa; Chordata; Mammalia; Rodentia; Muridae.